This 301-nucleotide ribosomal RNA is filed under the name uncultured bacterium. RNAcentral describes it as "partial 16S ribosomal RNA". It matches the Rfam family "Bacterial small subunit ribosomal RNA", at positions 509 to 809 of the family's 1533-position model. The record is from RNAcentral.
CAGUCGCCGCGGUAAUACGAGGGGGGCAAGCGUUGUUCGGAAUUAUUGGGCGUAAAGGGCGCGUAGGCGGUUUGGCAAGUUUGGUGUGAAAUCUUCGGGCUCAACUCGAAGUCUGCAUCGAAAACUGCCGGGCUUGAGUAUGGGAGAGGUGAGUGGAAUUUCCGGUGUAGCGGUGAAAUGCGUAGAUAUCGGAAGGAACACCUGUGGCGAAAGCGGGCUCCUGGACCCCACCUGACGCUGAGACGCGAAAGCCAGGGGAGCGAACGGGAUUAGAUACCCAGUAGUCCCUGUCUCUUAUACA